Molecule: ribosomal RNA, 478 nt
Filed under: uncultured bacterium
Lineage: Bacteria
Description: partial 16S ribosomal RNA
Rfam family: Bacterial small subunit ribosomal RNA
Source: RNAcentral
GAUGAACGCUGGCGGCGUGCUUAACACAUGCAAGUCGAACGAGAAGUGAAGACGGAAACCUUCGGGCGGAAGGCUUUAUUUCGAGUGGCGGACGGGUGAGUAACGCGUGGGUAACCUGCCUCAUACAGGGGGAUAACAGUUGGAAACGACUGUUAAUACCGCAUAAGACCACAGCACCGCAUGGUGCGGGGGUAAAAACUCCGGUGGUAUGAGAUGGACCCGCGUUCGAUUAGCCAGUUGGCGGGGUAACGGCCCACCAAAGCGACGAUCGAUAGCCGAUCUGAGAGGAUGACCGGCCACAUUGGGACUGAGACACGGCCCAAACUCCUACGGGAGGCAGCAGUGGGGAAUAUUGCACAAUGGGGGAAACCCUGAUGCAGCGACGCCGCGUGAGUGAAGAAGUAUUUCGGUAUGUAAAGCUCUAUCAGCAGGGAAGAAAAUGACGUUACCUGAGGAAGAAGCCCCGGCUAACUACGUG